Molecule: transfer RNA, 87 nt
Filed under: Richelia sp. RM2_1_2
Lineage: Bacteria; Bacillati; Cyanobacteriota; Cyanophyceae; Nostocales; Nostocaceae
Description: tRNA-OTHER
Source: RNAcentral
GGAAAGUUAAUUGCCCCGGCGGGCGACCUAGUCUUGAAAACUAGUGGUACCGAAAGGUAUGGGGGUCGGCACCUCAGCUUUCCGCCA